This 462-nucleotide ribosomal RNA is filed under the name uncultured bacterium. RNAcentral's name for it is "bacterial SSU rRNA". It matches the Rfam family "Bacterial small subunit ribosomal RNA", at positions 28 to 507 of the family's 1533-position model. The record is from RNAcentral.
GACGAACGCUGGCGGCGUGCUUAACACAUGCAAGUCGAGCGAUGAAGUUUCUUCGGAAAUGGAUUAGCGGCGAACGGGUGAGGAACACGUGAAGAAUCUGCCCUCCACUUUGGGAUAACACAGGGAAACCUGUGCUAAUACCGAAUAUUGAAACAUAAGUGGCAUCACUGAGUUUUGAAAGAAUUUCGGUAGAGGAUGACUUCGCGGCCUAUCAGCUAGUUGGUGAGGUAAUGGCUCACCAAGGCAACGACGGGUAGCCGGCCUGAGAGGGCGACCGGCCACACUGGGACUGAGACACGGCCCAGACUCCUACGGGAGGCAGCAGUGGGGAAUAUUGGGCAAUGGAGGAAACUCUGACGGAGCAAUACCGCGUGAGGAAGAAUGCCUAUGGGUUGUAAACCUCUUUUUUCAGGGAGGAAUCAAAUGACGUGUACCUGAAGAUAAGCAUCGGCUAACUCCGUG